Octodon degus (degu) is the source of this 107-nucleotide small nuclear RNA. The record is from Ensembl. Lineage: Eukaryota; Metazoa; Chordata; Mammalia; Rodentia; Octodontidae.
GUGCUUACUUCAGCAACACACAUACUACAAUUGGAAUGAUACACAGAAGAGUAGCAUGGACCCUGUGCAAGGAUGACAUCCAAAUUUGUGUAAAAUUCCAUUUCAAA